RNAcentral lists this ribosomal RNA (643 nucleotides) under uncultured Lachnospiraceae bacterium. Its description in RNAcentral is "bacterial SSU rRNA". It matches the Rfam family "Bacterial small subunit ribosomal RNA", at positions 69 to 727 of the family's 1533-position model. Lineage: Bacteria; Bacillati; Bacillota; Clostridia; Lachnospirales; Lachnospiraceae. The record is from RNAcentral.
GAAACUUCGGUCGAUUUAAUUUAAUUCUAGUGGCGGACGGGUGAGUAACGCGUGGGUAACCUGCCUUAUACAGGGGGAUAACAGUCAGAAAUGGCUGCUAAUACCGCAUAAGCGCACAGAGCUGCAUGGCUCGGUGUGAAAAACUCCGGUGGUAUAAGAUGGACCCGCGUUGGAUUAGCUUGUUGGUGGGGUAACGGCCCACCAAGGCGACGAUCCAUAGCCGGCCUGAGAGGGUGAACGGCCACAUUGGGACUGAGACACGGCCCAGACUCCUACGGGAGGCAGCAGUGGGGAAUAUUGCACAAUGGGGGAAACCCUGAUGCAGCGACGCCGCGUGAAGGAAGAAGUAUCUCGGUAUGCAAACUUCUAUCAGCAGGGAAGAUAGUGACGGUACCUGACUAAGAAGCCCCGGCUAACUACGUGCCAGCAGCCGCGGUAAUACGUAGGGGGCAAGCGUUAUCCGGAUUUACUGGGUGUAAAGGGAGCGUAGACGGUGUGGCAAGUCUGAUGUGAAAGGCAUGGGCUCAACCUGUGGACUGCAUUGGAAACUGUCAUGCUUGAGUGCCGGAGGGGUAAGCGGAAUUCCUAGUGUAGCGGUGAAAUGCGUAGAUAUUAGGAGGAACACCAGUGGCGAAGGCGGCUU